This 884-nucleotide ribosomal RNA is filed under the name uncultured bacterium. RNAcentral's name for it is "bacterial SSU rRNA". It matches the Rfam family "Bacterial small subunit ribosomal RNA", at positions 1 to 899 of the family's 1533-position model. The record is from RNAcentral.
CCUUAGAGUUUGAUCCUGGCUCAGGACGAACGCUGGCGGCGCGCCUAACACAUGCAAGUCGAACGGAGUCAAGAGGAGCUUGCUUUUCUUGACUUAGUGGCGAACGGGUGAGUAACGCGUGAGUAACCUGCCCUGGAGUGGGGGACAACAGUUGGAAACGACUGCUAAUACCGCAUAAGCCCACGGCCCGGCAUCGGGCUGGGGGAAAAGGAUUUAUUCGCUUCAGGAUGGACUCGCGUCCAAUUAGCUAGUUGGUGAGGUAACGGCCCACCAAGGCGACGAUUGGUAGCCGGACUGAGAGGUUGAACGGCCACAUUGGGACUGAGACACGGCCCAGACUCCUACGGGAGGCAGCAGUGGGGGAUAUUGCAUAAUGGGGGAAACCCUGAUGCAGCGACGCCGCGUGGAGGAAGAAGGUUUUCGGAUUGUAAACUCCUGUUGUUGAGGAAGAUAAUGACGGUACUCAACAAGAAAGUGACGGCUAACUACGUGCCAGCAGCCGCGGUAAAACGUAGGUCACAAGCGUUGUCCGGAAUUACUGGGUGUAAAGGGAGCGCAGGCGGGAGAACAAGUUGGAAGUGAAAUCCAUGGGCUCAACCCAUGAACUGCUUUCAAAACUGUUUUUCUUGAGUAGUGCAGAGGUAGGCGGAAUUCCCGGUGUAGCGGUGGAAUGCGUAGAUAUCGGGAGGAACACCAGUGGCGAAGGCGGCCUACUGGGCACCAACUGACGCUGAGGCUCGAAAGUGUGGGUAGCAAACAGGAUUAGAUACCCUGGUAGUCCACACCGUAAACGAUGAUUACUAGGUGUUGGAGGAUUGACCCCUUCAGUGCCGCAGUUAACACAAUAAGUAAUCCACCUGGGGAGUACGACCGCAAGGUUGAAA